GCUUGCACUAACUGGGCGGAGUCUCCCGGGUACCCCGAGUCCCAGCCUCGGUCCAGCCUCGUCGCACGCAGCUGGCGGAUCUCUUCUGCCACGCGGGCAUCAGGUGCAUUCAUUUCACCCUGAAAUCUGAGAAAGAAGAGUUUAUCAGCUCUCCUCCUCUGUUCUCACUUCCAAAAUAUGCGCCCCCCAAAACCCUGCGAAUGAGAAGCUUGCCCUGGCAUGUAGGAUAUCCAGUUCUUACACACCUUGGUUCAACUACUCCGUGGAAUUCAGAGAUUAAGCUCUCCAACACUAAUAUGGAUGAUCUAGAACCAAAUACAGCUUGAUCCCAUUUCCUUUGAAUGUGGACUGGACUUAGUGACUCACUUCUAAUGAAUAGACUAUAGCCUGAGUGACGGU
Molecule: non-coding RNA, 399 nt
Organism: Leptonychotes weddellii (Weddell seal)
Lineage: Eukaryota; Metazoa; Chordata; Mammalia; Carnivora; Phocidae
Source: RefSeq, a predicted model, not a curated record